This 253-nucleotide ribosomal RNA is filed under the name uncultured prokaryote. RNAcentral's name for it is "partial 16S ribosomal RNA". It matches the Rfam family "Bacterial small subunit ribosomal RNA", at positions 525 to 777 of the family's 1533-position model. The record is from RNAcentral.
ACGUAGGGUGCGAGCGUUAAUCGGAAUUACUGGGCGUAAAGUGUGCGCAGGCGGCCGAGCAAGUCGAGUGUGAAAGCCCCGGGCUUAACUUGGGAAUUGCGCUCGAAACUAUGGAGCUGGAGUGUGGCAGAGGAAGGUGGAAUUCCACGUGUAGCGGUGAAAUGCGUAGAGAUGCGGAGGAACACCGAUGGCGAAGGCAGCCCCCUGGGCCAACACUGACGCUCAGGCACGAAAGCGUGGGGAGCAAACAGGA